Molecule: ribosomal RNA, 422 nt
Filed under: uncultured bacterium
Lineage: Bacteria
Description: bacterial SSU rRNA
Rfam family: Bacterial small subunit ribosomal RNA
Source: RNAcentral
UAAGGAAUAUUGGUCAAUGGACGCAAGUCUGAACCAGCCAUGCCGCGUGAAGGAUUAAGGCCCUCUGGGUUGUAAACUUCUUUUAUAGGGGAAGAAAUGUGACGGUUCUCCGUCACUUGACGGUACCGGGAGAAGAAGCUGCGGCUAACUACGUGCCAGCAGCCGCGGUAAUACGUAGGCAGCAUGCGUUGUUCGGAGUUACUGGGCGUAAAGAGUGCGUAGGCGGUUUUCUAAGUUCGGUGUGAAAUCUCCCGGCUUAACUGGGAGGGUGCGCCGANGACUGGGAAGCUGGAGUGUGGGAAAGGCAGGCGGAAUUCCUGGUGUAGCGGUGAAAUGCGUAGAUAUCAGGAGGAACACCGGCGGUGUAGACGGCUUGCUAGACCAUAACUGACGCUGAGGCACGAAAGCGUGGGUAGCAAACA